UACGUAGGUGGCAAGCGUUGUCCGGAUUUAUUGGGCGUAAAGAGCGUGUAGGCGGUCCGGUAAGUCCGCUGUGAAAGUCCAGGGCUCAACCCUGGAAUGCCGGUGGAUACUGCCGGGCUAGAGUCCGGAAGAGGCGAGUGGAAUUCCUGGUGUAGCGGUGAAAUGCGCAGAUAUCAGGAGGAACACCGAUGGCGAAGGCAGCUCGCUGGGCCGGUACUGACGCUGAGACGCGAAAGCGUGGGGAGCAAACAGG
Molecule: ribosomal RNA, 253 nt
Filed under: uncultured bacterium
Lineage: Bacteria
Description: partial 16S ribosomal RNA
Rfam family: Bacterial small subunit ribosomal RNA
Source: RNAcentral